GGUUCUCCCCGAAAGCUAUUUAGGUAGCGCCUCGUGAAUUCAUCUCCGGGGGUAGAGCACUGUUUCGGCAAGGGGGUCAUCCCGACUUACCAACCCGAUGCAAACUGCGAAUACCGGAGAAUGUUAUCACGGGAGACACACGGCGGGUGCUAACGUCCGUCGUGAAGAGGGAAACAACCCAGACCGCCAGCUAAGGUCCCAAAGUCAUGGUUAAGUGGGAAACGAUGUGGGAAGGCCCAGACAGCCAGGAUGUUGGCUUAGAAGCAGCCAUCAUUUAAAGAAAGCGUAAUAGCUCACUGGUCGAGUCGGCCUGCGCGGAAGAUGUAACGGGGCUAAACCAUGCACCGAAGCUGCGGCAGCGACACUAUGUGUUGUUGGGUAGGGGAGCGUUCUGUAAGCCUGUGAAGGUGGCCUGUGAGGGUUGCUGGAGGUAUCAGAAGUGCGAAUGCUGACAUAAGUAACGAUAAAGCGGGUGAAAAGCCCGCUCGCCGGAAGACCAAGGGUUCCUGUCCAACGUUAAUCGGGGCAGGGUGAGUCGACCCCUAAGGCGAGGCCGAAAGGCGUAGUCGAUGGGAAACAGGUUAAUAUUCC
This 591-nucleotide ribosomal RNA is filed under the name Escherichia coli. RNAcentral describes it as "partial 23S ribosomal RNA". It matches the Rfam family "Bacterial large subunit ribosomal RNA", at positions 851 to 1439 of the family's 2925-position model. Lineage: Bacteria; Pseudomonadati; Pseudomonadota; Gammaproteobacteria; Enterobacterales; Enterobacteriaceae. The record is from RNAcentral.